Carassius auratus (goldfish) is the source of this 3184-nucleotide long non-coding RNA. RefSeq lists it as uncharacterized. The record is from RefSeq and is a predicted model, not a curated record. The transcript is spliced from 4 exons. NCBI's taxonomy places the organism in Eukaryota, Metazoa, Chordata, Actinopteri, Cypriniformes, Cyprinidae.
CAAUUAAUGAAAUUGUAAAUUGCUUCUCCAGUCGUCUUCGAGGCGGAUCGGCCUGUCCUGCGCCAACUGCCAGACCAGCACUACAACACUGUGGCGCCGAAACGCAGACGGAGAGCCCGUGUGCAACGCGUGUGGACUUUACACAAAGUUACACGGGGUGCCUAGGCCCCUUGCCAUGAAAAAAGAAGGUAUUCAGACAAGGAAAAGAAAACCAAAAACCUUGAACAAAACAAAGGGAUCAUCUGGAAGUAGUUCUGUCCCAAUGACUCCAACGUCUUCAUCGUCUUCUAAUUCAGAAGAGUGCACAAAGAACAGUCCUUCAUCAACACAGGUCAACUCUUCGAUGCUGGUGGGCCAAGCUGAUGUUUCAGGCACGACUGGCUCCAUGGUGAAGUAUCCUGGCCAGGAGAGCCUGUACACGAAUGUAGGCCUGACGUCCACAACUGAUGUAGCAACCUCUGUGAGAGGGGACACUUGGUGCCCCAUGGCCUUGGCCUAAACCCUGGCAUUAUGGGAUGGGAGCCAUUUGCUGUCCUUCAGCUCUCUUGAACGUCCCUUGGCGUUGUUCUUCAAAUCUCUCAGGCCGUGGGGUGUCAUCUGUUUUUGGUCUGCGUUAGUGAUCUCGAGCAGAGGCUUGAUCUGUUCCAAAUACUCCCGUUUUGGUUUCACCUGUGGAAUACUGGACCUACAUGACGGAGAUGAUCUUUUCUACUCUGCACUAGAGGACGAUACCUGAGAGCGUCUGCUUUAACGUGCCUUCGGUACUUUCAGAGCACACCCUGCACCGCGAAUGUUGCUCGGAAGAGUAAGUGGAUCAAAAAUGAUUUCUUGAAAGUAGUAUUGUACAUAUUGAUGCUAACGGAUACUUCGCCCAUCUGGAAAGACAAAGUUGUUAUUCGGAUUUUGGCGAUCUGAAGAGAAAAUGUUUGAUCUUUCUGAAACUGGAAUUGAGGAUGAAGUGUCAAGGUGUUCUUUCGAGGAAUGCAAACAUAUUUAUGAAGCUACCGUUCAAUGUUCAAAUAAUGCAUAUAUUUGUCAAUAAAGAUCAUUUCAAAUAGUGUAGGAUUGAAGCCUUGCCCUUCCUUUAAAAAUCUUUGGUUUCAAGCAUGAUGUUGUUGCAGUGGAUGUUGCACACCAUCUAUGUGGAAAGAAAAAGAAAAGAAAAAAGGUCUCUUAGAAGACUGGGCUGUUUUGUGAUGGUUUAACAGGGUAUCACAGAUCACAGGAACUCACACGAGACUUGUAGUGUUAUGUUCGACUACACAUUUUCCUAGAGAUCACUAUCAAAUGUAAAUGGUCUAAUCAAAAUUCAUAGUGAAGAAAAUAGUUUUUUUUUUUUUUUGAGAAAUCAGAAUGGCUUAAAUCAUCAGCAAAGCAUAAAUUGAAAUGACCUUUAUAUCUCUGUUAGAACAAACGGCGCUCAGGAUUUCAUUUCUGAUGCAUUUUUUGUUACAACACAAAACUGCAAAAAAAUGAUUUUGGAUGUGAGACUACCUAACAUGUGACACUGAUGCGUGAAUAUCAGUGCAUAUUGCUGUUUAUUUGUUUUAGUUUUUUUUACAAUUAUGCUUUCACGAUUUGUUGAAUGUUUUAGAGAGAGAGAAAUGUGUGCCAGAAUCGUUUCUUGUGAGUUACAAUCUAAACCACAAACAUGAUGCACAAUGACAGUAAUUAAUGAGCUAUCUAAAGAGUUGAAUUCACUCAUGAAAGAGUCGGUCUCAAGUGGUUUUGGCGUCCAUGAUUUACUGCCUCUGAUCUGUUAAACAGUUACCCAACUACAAGUUCCCCGUGUAAAUAUCUUAUGGCUUUGAAAUGGGGGACUAAAGGAGCACCAGAAGAGCCUUCUUCAAAUGAUUACUCCUUAGAGCAGCAAAGUAUUUCCAUGACCGUCACAUUUUUGGACAAGAUCAUAGAGUGUCAUAGAGAAAAUGUGUGAACAACACGAGAAACAUUUUGCUAUCAUUGUGAUUCUCAGCCUUUAUAACCUCUAGAAUUAUUUAUUUCUGCAAUGUAGUGUGUGUUGUUAGAGGUAUUUGUUUAUUUUAUUUGAAAUAACGUAUUUGUAUUUUUUUUUGUGUGUAUAAUUUCAGUUCCAAUGUAUUUUGAUUUUUGUUAUCUGGGUUAAACAGACUUAUUUGUUAUGGUUUUGUCUUGGGGUAAUUCAAAAUAUGUUGAAUCGCAAGGUGUGUUUUCCUUCUCUUUUUGUAGAUUUUAACAUUUAUUAUGGAAGGUUCUUCAUACUCUUCACAUGAACCACUGGAACCACAUCAUUUGUAAUUAUGAUAAUUUUAUUUAAGAUGAUUUUACUGAUUUUAUUGUCAUCACCAGUCAUGUAGCACAUUUUCUUGGGGGGGGGUAAAAUGUUCUUAAACCAUUGACUGUUUUCCAGUGUAUAGAGGAGUAAGUAUUUCAUUAUUAGAUUUUUAUUUUAUUUAAAUUGUCUCUCAGAUUAGUUUAUUAUCACUGGAACAAUAAAUAAGAGCCAUGACUAAAGUGGUUGUUUUUCCCAUCCCUUAUUUCAGUUGUAAAGGUAUUCAAAUUGUUUUAAUUUAAUCAAGUAUCAAUCAAUAUCGUUAAACAACAAAGUCUAUCUUUGCAUUGAUUUUCUAUGUUUAACACUCAAAGGCCAGUUGUUUGCUCAUGGAUCACAUAUCAUUUUGUUUGUUGGUACACUGAAGCUAAUUUAAAACUUGAAAUUUGUAUUUCAACAAUAGUAACCUUUCACAAAUAUUUGCAUUAUAAUCACAUAAUCACAAAUGAUGACUUAAAAUGGCCGGAUCUGAAUUUGGGUCGAUGAUGAACAUUAUCGAUGUUAAAAUGAAACAUUGCGUGACGUUUCUAGUGAAUCCGAAGACUGCUUAAGCCUGAGCCCUGCCCAGAUGAGUUACUGGUUUAUGUGAACUCUUGACAUUUGAAUGUGCUGAGCUUCGCUUCAAAGUUGCACUUUGAUUUACGGCUGAUUGAUGACGUCUCGGCUCCAAUAGUUUGCAGAUCUCUGAUGUAAUGUCUUGUGCUGUUUGUGAUAGACACAGCGUGCUUUGACAGACUGAUACGUCAUGUUCCCAACACAUCUUUUGCUGGAGAUCACUGAAAGGAAUAUAUGUGGAAAAAACUGAGACUCAGAUCCAAUUGCUGUAUUGUUGCUUUUUUUUGUAGUGCAUCCAGUAUAAAAGUUUGUUUCAAA